GACGAACGCUGGCGGCGUGCCUAAUACAUGCAAGUUGAGCGCUGAAGGUUGGUACUUGUACCAACUGGAUGAGCAGCGAACGGGUGAGUAACGCGUGGGGAAUCUGCCUUUGAGCGGGGGACAACAUUUGGAAACGAAUGCUAAUACCGCAUAAAAACUUUAAACACAAGUUUUAAGUUUGAAAGAUGCAAUUGCAUCACCCAAAGAUGAUCCCGCGUUGUAUUAGCUAGUUGGUGAGGUAAAGGCCCACCAAGGCGAUGAUACAUAGCCGACCUGAGAGGGUGAUCGGCCACAUUUGGACUUAGACACGGCCCAAACUCCUACGGGGGGCAGCAGUAGGGGAUCUUCGGCAAUGGACGAAAGUCUGACCGAGCAACGCCGCGGGAGUGAAGAGGGUUUUCGGAUCGUAAAACUCUGUUGGUAGAGAAGAACGUUGGUGAGAGUGGAAAGCUCGUCAAGUGACGGUAACUACCCAGAAAGGGACGGCUAACUACGUG
RNAcentral lists this ribosomal RNA (497 nucleotides) under uncultured bacterium. RNAcentral's name for it is "partial 16S ribosomal RNA". It matches the Rfam family "Bacterial small subunit ribosomal RNA", at positions 28 to 507 of the family's 1533-position model. The record is from RNAcentral.